This 1029-nucleotide long non-coding RNA is filed under the name Capra hircus (goat). RNAcentral's name for it is "lncRNA (ENSCHIG00010031449.1)". The record is from RNAcentral. Lineage: Eukaryota; Metazoa; Chordata; Mammalia; Artiodactyla; Bovidae.
GCGCUGGGCCUCGGCUGGGACCGUCCAUGUAGCAGCAACCCGCGGCAGCUGCCGCGAGCAGCGUUCGGUUUCGUGUUUAAAGUUUGACAACUGUGCAAUGUAUUAAUAACGUCUUUUAUAUCUAAAUGUAUUCUGCCCAAGGAGUACACUGGUCCCAAGGUGUAAAGCUUUAAGAGUCAUUUAUAUAAAAUGUUUAAUCUCUGCUGAAACUCAGUGCAAAAAAAAUGAAAAAGACAAAAAAAAAAGGAAAAAAGAAAAAAACCCUGUAUAUUUGUACAAAAAGUUUUUAUGCCAAAGGCACCUCACUCGCAUCUGGUUAUCAGCAAAUGUAAAUUUAUUUUUUAUAGCAUAUUCAGGGGGAGGGGGUCACUCACAAGCUAUAGCUGCCGUACAAGCCCAUCUAGCUUGCAGUCUCUUCGCGCUUUCGCUGUCUCUUUUUACUAUUAUGAUUAUUUUAAACUUGAAGACAAAUCUGUUUUUUAAAAAAUGGUUCCUGAGCCGUCUGCACCACUGCCCCGGCUCCUCGUCCGCCGGGUUCUAAAUAAAGAGGCCGAAAAAUGCUGCAACUUAGCUCCUGUGUGCCUGUACUGCCUCCAGCUUUCGCCCCGGCACCCCCCAAAAGUUAGGGAGGCAGAGCUCAGGGGAGCAGCCUAAGAGGGCGGGGGACGACGGGGACUUUCUCCUGGCAGCACUGGCACUCGCCCACAUGCACCAGGGCACUAAGNGAACAAGCACACACUCCGUGUAGGGCUCAGAGCGGAGACCAAGACUCAGUUUCCCUGGCUCCGGGGAAACCACCCACACCCCGGCUGCCCAGUGGGACUCAGGUGGGCACCGGCGGGGGCCGGGCUGGCCGCGGACCCGAUGAGCGGGACCUGAGCUUUUAAAGUUCUCGAGACCUCGAACAAGGCGGAACCUCAAGCCUCUCCGAAGCCCCCAGCUUCGUGGGCACCGGUGCCCCCCAGAGUGGGGCCGAAGGACCCAGAUGUAUUCCUGGCCUGUUGGGCCCACAGUGGGGGAGGGGCGGGC